UCAAACCAAAUUGAUACUUCA
Molecule: non-coding RNA, 21 nt
Organism: Caenorhabditis elegans
Lineage: Eukaryota; Metazoa; Nematoda; Chromadorea; Rhabditida; Rhabditidae
Source: Ensembl